This 414-nucleotide ribosomal RNA is filed under the name uncultured bacterium. Its description in RNAcentral is "partial 16S ribosomal RNA". It matches the Rfam family "Bacterial small subunit ribosomal RNA", at positions 355 to 760 of the family's 1533-position model. The record is from RNAcentral.
UGGGGAAUAUUGCACAAUGGGCGCAAGCCUGAUGCAGCCAUGCCGCGUGUGUGAAGAAGGCCUUCGGGUUGUAAAGCACUUUCAGCGAGGAGGAAGGGUUCAGUGUUAAUAGCACUGUGCAUUGACGUUACUCGCAGAAGAAGCACCGGCUAACUCCGUGCCAGCAGCCGCGGUAAUACGGAGGGUGCAAGCGUUAAUCGGAAUUACUGGGCGUAAAGCGCACGCAGGCGGUUUGUUAAGUCAGAUGUGAAAUCCCCGCGCUUAACGUGGGAACUGCAUUUGAAACUGGCAAGCUAGAGUCUUGUAGAGGGGGGUAGAAUUCCAGGUGUAGCGGUGAAAUGCGUAGAGAUCUGGAGGAAUACCGGUGGCGAAGGCGGCCCCCUGGACAAAAGACUGACGCUCAGGUGCGAAAGC